UGUGUACCCUCACUCCCGUAAGUUGCCGAUCUCCCCCUUCUUUCUCUUAUCCUAUCUGUCAACAAAUAAUAAAAGAGGGAGAGAAAGAGAAGGAGAGAGAGAGAGAAGAGAAAAGAAGAAGGAAAGGAGGCCAUGGGCCUCCCCAACACCGAAGGGGAAAAGGAAGGAAAGGAGAGGAGGCCAUGGGCCUCCCCCCGCACGCCUUAUGUGUGCUCUCGCAUGGCCGAAUCCAUCUGCACUGGUCCCCAUGCAUCCCCAACCACCU
RNAcentral lists this long non-coding RNA (265 nucleotides) under Elaeis guineensis (African oil palm). RNAcentral describes it as "long non-coding RNA (EGUI_LNC044597)". Lineage: Eukaryota; Viridiplantae; Streptophyta; Magnoliopsida; Arecales; Arecaceae. The record is from RNAcentral.